UAUCCUCAUAAGUUAGACGAUAAGAGGUACCAUCUAUUAUUUUUUUAAAUAUAGAUGGUGGCACAGAAUCGGAGGCCCCGACUGUUUACUAAAAACACAACACAGUGCAAUCAUUAAUGUGAUAGUAUACUGUGUGAAAUUUGCCCAAUGCCAUUAAUAUAAGAGCGGUCAUAUAUAAAUGUGACUAAUUGAAAAUCUGGUUAAUAGCGGUCUUAACCAUGAGGAUCCUAAGGUAGCAAAAUAAAUUGGCCAUUAAAUGUGGUCCGGUAUCAAUAAUGUAACGAUGGCCUCACUGUCUCUACAACUUGCUCAGUGAAAUUGAAUUACGCGUGCAGAUGCGCGUUACCUC
Molecule: ribosomal RNA, 349 nt
Filed under: Amanita aff. lavendula 1 KWH-2017
Lineage: Eukaryota; Fungi; Basidiomycota; Agaricomycetes; Agaricales; Amanitaceae
Also listed under: 1 other name
Description: LSU rRNA
Rfam family: Bacterial large subunit ribosomal RNA
Source: RNAcentral